This is a long non-coding RNA of Talpa occidentalis (Iberian mole), 1000 nucleotides long. RefSeq lists it as uncharacterized. The transcript has 4 exons. NCBI's taxonomy places the organism in Eukaryota, Metazoa, Chordata, Mammalia, Eulipotyphla, Talpidae. The record is from RefSeq and is a predicted model, not a curated record.
UCUAGGCCUCCGCCUAUUCUUUCCCCUCCUUCCUUUUAUCUGUCAAACUCUUAUGUCAUGUUUUCUUGAAGUCUUUCCUAGACUCUCCAAAUUGCCUUAGGAUCCCUGGCUCUAUCUUCACUAGACAUCCACUAAGCCAUUACCAGGGCAUCUGACAUUCUUUAUUCUUGUCACCUACUUUACUUCUGCUUUUCUUGAUAAUUCAUGAAUUAGGUAAUUGUGAUGAUUAAUUUUAUGUCUAAACUUGACUGGGCUAAGGGAUUCCCAGAUCACUCUUAAAAUACUUUUUCUGGGUAUGUGUAUGAAGGUAUUUCCGGAAGAGAUUAGCAUUUGAAAUGGUCAACUGAGUAAAGCAAAUGGCCCUCAUCAUGUGGGUCUGUGGAAGCCCAGAGUGAGAGUACUACCAUUCACAUUCAGCAGCAAGAGUCCAAACCCAUUCAGACAGAGAAGCCUACUGCACAGAGGCUUCACUGGGUAAAAGUAGAGGUACAAAGAAAAUACCAUACUCCCUACUGAGGUUCCAGGUCCAGCCAAGACUCCAAACCUCAGGGAGGGCCUCUGAUGAGCCUGAAAAGUGUUGACAAAUCAGCUGAUCUAAAACUCAUGCUUUCCAAAUCACAUGAUCCAUCAUUUUCAGGUGAUUCAUGAGACACGAGCAAAGGUUUGACUAAACUGAGUCAAAUUGCAAGGAAGAGUGCGCUGCAGUACUGGAGUGUGAAGUUGCCAUUCUGGGGUGUUGCAGAUGAAAGCAGAUGAGCUGUCCAAGAACUAUGAGGAGAGAAGCAUGAAAUGGGCACUUCCUUGUAGAGAGUGAAGACAAGGACUCCCGUUUCCAGCGUCCAGGAUCCCAUUCGGAGGAGUACAUUACAAUUAGCCAUUAUAUCUCUGUAGGCUCUUCUUGACUAUGACAGUUUCUCAGAAUUUCCUCACUUCUGAUGACUGUGAGUUUUAAGGAAUGCUGGUCAAGUAUUUCAAAAUGGGCCAAAGACAUGGAUGUAAG